AAUGGCAUUAGUACCCCAGUAGUCCUAGCCGUAAACGAUGGGUACUAGGUGUUGACCGAACCACUCGGUCGGUGCCGUAGCUAACGCGUUAAGUACCCCGCCUGGGGAGUACGGUCGCAAGAUUGAAACUCAAAGGAAUUGACGGGGGCCCGCACAAGCGGUGGAGUAUGUGGUUUAAUUCGAUGCAACGCGAAGAACCUUACCAGGGCUUGACAUCCUGCGAAUCCUGCCGAAAGGUGGGAGUGCCGUAAGGAGCGCAGAGACAGGUGGUGCAUGGCUGUCGUCAGCUCGUGUCGUGAGAUGUUGGGUUAAGUCCCGCAACGAGCGCAACCCUCGUUCUCAGUUGCCAGCAUUCAGUUGGGCACUCUGGGGAGACCGCCGGUGACAAACCGGAGGAAGGUGGGGAUGACGUCAAGUCAUCAUGCCCCUUACGUCCUGGGCUACACACGUACUACAAUGGCUGGGACAAAGAGUUGCCAACUCGCGAGAGUGAGCUAAUCUCGUAAACCCAGUCUCAGUUCAGAUUGCAGGCUGCAACUCGCCUGCAUGAAGGCGGAAUCGCUAGUAAUCGCAGGUCAGCAUACUGC
RNAcentral lists this ribosomal RNA (587 nucleotides) under uncultured cyanobacterium. RNAcentral describes it as "bacterial SSU rRNA". It matches the Rfam family "Bacterial small subunit ribosomal RNA", at positions 771 to 1360 of the family's 1533-position model. The record is from RNAcentral. Lineage: Bacteria; Bacillati; Cyanobacteriota.